RNAcentral lists this ribosomal RNA (233 nucleotides) under uncultured bacterium. RNAcentral describes it as "partial 16S ribosomal RNA". It matches the Rfam family "Bacterial small subunit ribosomal RNA", at positions 15 to 240 of the family's 1533-position model. The record is from RNAcentral.
GAUCAUGGCUCAGGAUGAACGCUAGCUACAGGCUUAACACAUGCAAGUCGAGGGGCAGCAUCAUCAAAGCUUGCUUUGAUGGAUGGCGACCGGCGCACGGGUGAGUAACACGUAUCCAACCUGCCGACAACACUGGGAUAGCCUUUCGAAAGAAAGAUUAAUACCGGAUGGUAUAGUUUUCCCGCAUGGGAUGAUUAUUAAAGAAUUUCGGUUGUCGAUGGGGAUGCGUUCCA